UGGGGAAUAUUGCACAAUGGGCGAAAGCCUGAUGCAGCAACGCCGCGUGAGUGAUGAAGGCCUUCGGGUUGUAAAGCUCUGUCUUUUGGGACGAUAAUGACGGUACCAAACGGAGGAAGCCACGGCUAACUACGUGCCAGCAGCCGCGGUAAUACGUAGGUGGCAAGCGUUGUCCGGAUUUACUGGGCGUAAAGGAUGCGUAGGCGGAUUUUUAAGUGAGAUGUGAAAACCCUAAGCUUAACUUGGGGACUGCAUUUCAUACUGGAAAUCUAGAGUGCGGGAGAGGAGAAUGGAAUUCCUAGUGUAGCGGUGAAAUGCGUAGAGAUUAGGAAGAACACCAGUGGCGAAGGCGAUUCUCUGGACCGUAACUGACGCUGAGGCAUGAAAGCGUGGGUAGCAAACAGGAUUAGAUACCCUGGUAGUCCACGCCGUAAACGAUGAGUACUAGGUGUAGGAGGUAUCGACCCCUUCUGUGCCGCAGUUAACACAAUAAGUACUCCGCCUGGGGAAGUACGAUCGCAAGAUUAAAAA
RNAcentral lists this ribosomal RNA (531 nucleotides) under uncultured bacterium. Its description in RNAcentral is "partial 16S ribosomal RNA". It matches the Rfam family "Bacterial small subunit ribosomal RNA", at positions 355 to 900 of the family's 1533-position model. The record is from RNAcentral.